This 90-nucleotide transfer RNA is filed under the name Ardenticatenia bacterium. RNAcentral's name for it is "tRNA-Ser". It matches the Rfam family "tRNA". From Rfam's summary of the family: Transfer RNA (tRNA) molecules are approximately 80 nucleotides in length. The record is from RNAcentral. Lineage: Bacteria; Bacillati; Chloroflexota; Ardenticatenia.
GGAGGGAUGCCGGAGCUUGGUUGAACGGGGCGCACUCGAAAUGCGCUGUGGCCAUUGCGGCCACCGGGGGUUCGAAUCCCUCUCCCUCCG